Molecule: ribosomal RNA, 464 nt
Filed under: Vreelandella stevensii
Lineage: Bacteria; Pseudomonadati; Pseudomonadota; Gammaproteobacteria; Oceanospirillales; Halomonadaceae
Description: partial 16S ribosomal RNA
Rfam family: Bacterial small subunit ribosomal RNA
Source: RNAcentral
CCUACGGGGUGCAGCAGUGGGGAAUAUUGGACAAUGGGCGAAAGCCUGAUCCAGCCAUGCCGCGUGUGUGAAGAAGGCCUUCGGGUUGUAAAGCACUUUCAGUGGGGAAGAAAGCCUUGGGGCUAAUACCCUCGAGGAAGGACAUCACCCACAGAAGAAGCACCGGCUAACUCCGUGCCAGCAGCCGCGGUAAUACGGAGGGUGCGAGCGUUAAUCGGAAUUACUGGGCGUAAAGCGCGCGUAGGCGGUCUGAUAAGCCGGUUGUGAAAGCCCCGGGCUCAACCUGGGAACGGCAUCCGGAACUGUCAGGCUAGAGUGCAGGAGAGGAAGGUAGAAUUCCCGGUGUAGCGGUGAAAUGCGUAGAGAUCGGGAGGAAUACCAGUGGCGAAGGCGGCCUUCUGGACUGACACUGACGCUGAGGUGCGAAAGCGUGGGUAGCAAACAGGAUUAGAUACCCUUUAGUC